Molecule: long non-coding RNA, 614 nt
Filed under: Homo sapiens (human)
Lineage: Eukaryota; Metazoa; Chordata; Mammalia; Primates; Hominidae
Description: non-protein coding NR2F1-AS1:46
Source: RNAcentral
AGAAGGAAAGCUGGGACGGGCCGGGACCACAGGAGCCCCAGCCCCACACAGCAACCACCCGGGCGAGAAAGAAAGAAAGAGCCAGGGAGGCGGGCGAAGCGCGGGGAGAGAAGCAGAGAAGAAAUAUUCACCUUCCCGCCUCAUGCCCACUUUGAGGCACUUCUUGAGGCGGCAGUAUUGGCACUGGUUGCGGUGGUGCUGGUCGAUGGGACAGUUCCUGUUGGCACGGCAUGUGUAAGUUAAGUUCCUGCGGACGCUCCUCUUGAAGAAACUUUUGCAGCCCUCGCAGCAGGUAGAUGAAACUCAAGAGAAAAGGUGUGGAUAAAUGAAACUAGCCCAUGAUGAACCUGUUUUCUCCGUGACCACAAUAUUAACCAGGAUGAAUGGCGGUGGCAGUGGGCCUGCAUCACAGGUUGCAGCAGAUGUUCUCAAUAUUUCUAUUAAAAUUUCCUUAUUUCCAUAUGCAAGAGGAGCCCCAGAGCUGCAUCCUUAUGGUAGCUACCAUGCCGUGAUGUAAGCUGCCAUUCACUGGGGAGCUUUGGCAAUAGAAUUGGCUAGAUCAGGAAGCCUAUGUCAACUAUGGAACAACAACUUGCAGCUCAUCUCUAUUGAUG